Molecule: ribosomal RNA, 1457 nt
Filed under: uncultured Bacillota bacterium
Lineage: Bacteria; Bacillati; Bacillota
Description: bacterial SSU rRNA
Rfam family: Bacterial small subunit ribosomal RNA
Source: RNAcentral
GAUAAACGCUAGCGGCAGGCUUAACACAUGCAAGUCGAGGGGCAGCAUAGGGGUAGUAAUACUCCGGUGGCGACCGGCGGACGGGUGCGUAACGCGUAUGCAACCUACCUGUAACAGGGGGAUAAUCCGGAGAAAUCUGGUCUAAUACCGCAUAAUAUUUGAUAUGGCAUCAUAUUGGAUUGAAAACUGAGGUGGUUACAGAUGGGCAUGCGUUGUAUUAGCUAGAUGGUGGGGUAAUGGCUCACCAUGGCGACGAUCGGUAGCCGAACUGAGAGGUUGAUCGGCCGCAUUGGGACUGAGGCACGGCCCAGACUCCUACGGGAGGCAGCAGUGGGGGAUAUUGGUCAAUGGGGGAAACCCUGAACCAGCAAUGCCGCGUGAGGGAAGACGGUCUUCGGAUUGUAAACCUAAGUUAUCGGGGAAGAAGUGCGCCGCAAGGCGCAUUGACGGUACCCGAAGAGAAAGCUCCGGCUAACUACGUGCCAGCAGCCGCGGUAAUACGUAGGGAGCGAGCGUUGUCCGGAUUUACUGGGUGUAAAGGGUGCGUAGGCGGGGAUGCAAGUCAGUCGUGAAAUACCGGGGCUCAACUCCGGGGCUGCGAUUGAAACUGCAUUUCUUGAGUGAAGUAGAGGCAGGCGGAAUUCCGUGUGUAGCGGUGAAAUGCGUAGAUAUACGGAGGAACACCAGUGGCGAAGGCGGCCUGCUGGGCUUCAACUGACGCUGAGGCACGAAAGCAUGGGGAGCAAACAGGAUUAGAUACCCUGGUAGUCCAUGCCGUAAACGAUGAUUGCUAGGUGUGGGGGGACUGACCCCUUCCGUGCCGGAGUAAACACAAUAAGCAAUCCACCUGGGGAGUACGGCCGCAAGGCUGAAACUCAAAGGAAUUGACGGGGGCCCGCACAAGCAGUGGAGUAUGUGGUUUAAUUCGACGCAACGCGAAGAACCUUACCAGGUCUUGACAUCCAACUAACGAAGCAGAGAUGCAUCAGGUGCCUUUCGGGGAAAGUUGAGACAGGUGGUGCAUGGUUGUCGUCAGCUCGUGUCGUGAGAUGUUGGGUUAAGUCCCGCAACGAGCGCAACCCUUGCUAUUAGUUGCUACAUUCAGUUGAGCACUCUAAUGGGACUGCCGUUGACAAAACGGAGGAAGGUGGGGACGACGUCAAAUCAUCAUGCCCCUUAAGACCUGGGCUACACACGUACUACAAUGGCCGUCAACAAAGGGCAGCAACGUCGCGAGGCGAAGCGAAUCCCAAAAAGCGGUCUCAGUUCGGAUCGCAGGCUGCAACCCGCCUGCGUGAAGUUGGAAUUGCUAGUAAUCGCGGAUCAGCAUGCCGCGGUGAAUACGUUCCCGGGCCUUGUACACACCGCCCGUCACACCAUGGGAGCCGGUAAUGCCCGAAGUCAGUAGCCUAACCGCAAGGAGGGCGCUGCCGAAGGCAGGAUUGGCGACUGGGGUG